AGCAGGUGCUGUCUAGCUGGGCAAA
This 25-nucleotide unclassified non-coding RNA is filed under the name Mus musculus (house mouse). RNAcentral's name for it is "oocyte_clustered_small_RNA4860". The record is from RNAcentral. Lineage: Eukaryota; Metazoa; Chordata; Mammalia; Rodentia; Muridae.